CAGAGCAGCAAUUCCAAGAAAGAAAAGGAUGCCUUGGAGGACAAGAAGCGAAACCCCAUCCUCAGAUAUAUUGGGAAGCCCAAGAGCUCCUCUCAGAGCACAUUUCAUAUUCCCUUGUCCCCUGUGGAAUUAAGCCAGGCAAUGUGAGGAACAUCAUUCAGCACUUUGAGAACAGCCAUCAGUAUGAUGUCCCAGAGCCGGGGACACAACGACUCUCAACAGGAAGCUUUCCUGAGGACCUGCUGGAGAGUGACAGUUCGCGCUCAGAGAUUCGACUGGGCCGCUCUGAGAGCCUCAAGGGCCGGGAAGAGAUGAAGCGAUCCCGGAAAGCAGAGAACGUGCCCCGGUCUCGAAGUGACGUUGACAUGGAUG
Molecule: long non-coding RNA, 372 nt
Filed under: Rattus norvegicus (Norway rat)
Lineage: Eukaryota; Metazoa; Chordata; Mammalia; Rodentia; Muridae
Description: long non-coding RNA NONRATT015393
Source: RNAcentral